RNAcentral lists this ribosomal RNA (1383 nucleotides) under Rhodococcus erythropolis. RNAcentral describes it as "bacterial SSU rRNA". It matches the Rfam family "Bacterial small subunit ribosomal RNA". The record is from RNAcentral. Lineage: Bacteria; Bacillati; Actinomycetota; Actinomycetes; Mycobacteriales; Nocardiaceae.
UGCAGUCGAGCGGUAAGGCCUUUCGGGGUACACGAGCGGCGAACGGGUGAGUAACACGUGGGUGAUCUGCCCUGCACUUCGGGAUAAGCCUGGGAAACUGGGUCUAAUACCGGAUAUGACCUCAUGUUGCAUGACUUGUGGUGGAAAGAUUUAUCGGUGCAGGAUGGGCCCGCGGCCUAUCAGCUUGUUGGUGGGGUAAUGGCCUACCAAGGCGACGACGGGUAGCCGACCUGAGAGGGUGACCGGCCACACUGGGACUGAGACACGGCCCAGACUCCUACGGGAGGCAGCAGUGGGGAAUAUUGCACAAUGGGCGAAAGCCUGAUGCAGCGACGCCGCGUGAGGGAUGACGGCCUUCGGGUUGUAAACCUCUUUCAGCAGGGACGAAGCGCAAGUGACGGUACCUGCAGAAGAAGCACCGGCUAACUACGUGCCAGCAGCCGCGGUAAUACGUAGGGUGCAAGCGUUGUCCGGAAUUACUGGGCGUAAAGAGUUCGUAGGCGGUUUGUCGCGUCGUUUGUGAAAACCAGCAGCUCAACUGCUGGCUUGCAGGCGAUACGGGCAGACUUGAGUACUGCAGGGGAGACUGGAAUUCCUGGUGUAGCGGUGAAAUGCGCAGAUAUCAGGAGGAACACCGGUGGCGAAGGCGGGUCUCUGGGCAGUAACUGACGCUGAGGAACGAAAGCGUGGGUAGCGAACAGGAUUAGAUACCCUGGUAGUCCACGCCGUAAACGGUGGGCGCUAGGUGUGGGUUCCUUCCACGGAAUCCGUGCCGUAGCUAACGCAUUAAGCGCCCCGCCUGGGGAGUACGGCCGCAAGGCUAAAACUCAAAGGAAUUGACGGGGGCCCGCACAAGCGGCGGAGCAUGUGGAUUAAUUCGAUGCAACGCGAANAACCUUACCUGGNUUUGACAUAUACCGGAANGCUGCANAGAUGUGGCCCCCNUUGUGGUCGGUAUACAGGUGGUGCAUGGCUGUCGUCANCUCNUGUCGUGAGAUGUUGGNUUAAGUCCCGCAACGAGCGCAACCCCUAUCUUAUGUUGCCAGCACGUUAUGGUGGGGACUCGUAAGAGACUGCCGGGGUCAACUCGGAGGAAGGUGGGGACGACGUCAAGUCAUCAUGCCCCUUAUGUCCAGGGCUUCACACAUGCUACAAUGGCCAGUACAGAGGGCUGCGAGACCGUGAGGUGGAGCGAAUCCCUUAAAGCUGGUCUCAGUUCGGAUCGGGGUCUGCAACUCGACCCCGUGAAGUCGGAGUCGCUAGUAAUCGCAGAUCAGCAACGCUGCGGUGAAUACGUUCCCGGGCCUUGUACACACCGCCCGUCACGUCAUGAAAGUCGGUAACACCCGAAGCCGGUGGCUUAACCCCUUGUGGGAGGAGCCU